This is a long non-coding RNA of Homo sapiens (human), 427 nucleotides long. Lineage: Eukaryota; Metazoa; Chordata; Mammalia; Primates; Hominidae. The record is from Ensembl.
CGCUGAUUAGCGCGGCUGGUUAGAGCCAGGACUAAUGAGGCUGAGGUCACGGACUCGGCCCCGUAGCCCAGGUAGCCCGGCCACCCUCCAAACGGCCGCUCCGCCUGGUCAGCUGCCUCACAGAUGCUCGCUGCUGUCUGGAAAGGGGCCAGGGAGGCUCGAGCCAGCAGCCAGCACGGGCUCUUUGUGUUUAAAACCAAACAAAAUAAAAACAGGUUCUCUAAUGUACCACCCCCUGUGAUCCUCUCUAGGAAUAUCAGACUUAAUGAUUUAAAUUUAAUUUGUUAGCCAUUUGGUGGUUAAUUUUUUUUAUUAAAAAAACUAAUGAUUUAUUAGCAUUCUUAUAAUAAGCAACAUUUAAUAUCUAUUCAUGAGAGUUCAAAUGGAUCAACUAUUUAAUUUUGUAAUAAAAUGAAUCAGAAAAGUA